GAUGAACGCUGGCUACAGGCUUAACACAUGCAAGUCGUGGGGAAACGGCAUUAUGUGCUUGCACAUUCUGGACGUCGACCGGCGCACGGGUGAGUAUCGCGUAUCCAACCUGCCCCUUACUUGGGGAUACCCCGUUGAAAGACGGCCUAAUACCCGAUGUGUUUCAUUGACGGCAUCCUAUAUGAAACAAAGGUUUUCCGGUAAGGGAUGGGGAUGCGUCUGAUUAGCUUUUUGGCGGGGCAACGGCCCACCAAGGCGACGAUCAGUAGGGGUUCUGAGAAGAAGGUCCCCCAUGUUGGAACUGGGAGUGGGUUCUGACUCCUACUGAAUGCUUAGUUUAGGAAUAUUGGUCGUUGGUCGCUUGGCUGUACCGUUCAUUUAUUGGGUGGGUUGAUGGCCCUGCUUUUACUGACUGAUGUUAUGUUGUUUGAAUUGGGCUUGGUGGGGGUGGGGGUGUUUUGUGUGUUUGAGACUGUUGUGAUCCAUAUUUUCUUGCGUUUUUGUGUGUGGUGGUGUUUUGUUUUUGUUUAUGGUGUGUGGUGGUGUUUGAUGUGUGUUGGUGGUGUUGUUGCCAUGUUGCGCAUCGUUAGUGCUGUGUUGUUAUUUGCUUGUGGUGUUUUCCUUGUGGUUGUGGUGUGCUGUGUUGUUGGUAUGUUUGUUGGUGGUGUUCUGCUGUGAGUGUAUGUGUGGUUGUGUGUGUGUAUGAGUUGUAGUGUGUGUGUGUUUUGUGUGAUGUUUUUGUCUGAUACUGAUGUUAUUGGCGUUUUCUGUGUGUUUUUGUGUCUGUGUGCUCGUAUUAGUAUGUGUGUUGAUUGUUGUGUUAGGCUAGUCGUGUAGUGAUGCUGUCAUGCUGAUCUGCGCUAGUUACUGUGGUAGAAAAUAUAUAGAAAAAAUUAAGAAAUUAUUGUAAUGAUGUAUGUUUUGUUGUUGCUAGUACGUAUAGCUGAUACUUUGUUUUGAUUUAGGCUUGUCUUGAGUGUUUAUAGUUUGCUUAUGUAGAUGAAUGCUGAUCAUAUAUUUGUCAUGUGUAAUGAGUUAUACACAUGUGAAUAUGUGAUAGAGGAUAUAUUAGUAGUAUGCCUGUGAUGCC
Molecule: ribosomal RNA, 1090 nt
Filed under: uncultured Pseudomonas sp.
Lineage: Bacteria; Pseudomonadati; Pseudomonadota; Gammaproteobacteria; Pseudomonadales; Pseudomonadaceae
Description: partial 16S ribosomal RNA
Rfam family: Bacterial small subunit ribosomal RNA (bases 17-378)
Source: RNAcentral